RNAcentral lists this ribosomal RNA (736 nucleotides) under uncultured Bacteroidales bacterium. Its description in RNAcentral is "bacterial SSU rRNA". It matches the Rfam family "Bacterial small subunit ribosomal RNA", at positions 52 to 775 of the family's 1533-position model. The record is from RNAcentral. Lineage: Bacteria; Pseudomonadati; Bacteroidota; Bacteroidia; Bacteroidales.
CACAUGCAAGUCGAGGGGCAGCAUGGUCUUAGCUUGCUAAGGCUGAUGGCGACCGGCGCACGGGUGAGUAACACGUAUCCAACCUGCCGUCUACUCUUGGCCAGCCUUCUGAAAGGAAGAUUAAUCCAGGAUGGCAUCAUGAGUUCACAUGUCCGCAUGAUUAAAGGUAUUUUCCGGUAGACGAUGGGGAUGCGUUCCAUUAGAUAGUAGGCGGGGUAACGGCCCACCUAGUCAACGAUGGAUAGGGGUUCUGAGAGGAAGGUCCCCCACAUUGGAACUGAGACACGGUCCAAACUCCUACGGGAGGCAGCAGUGAGGAAUAUUGGUCAAUGGGCGAUGGCCUGAACCAGCCAAGUAGCGUGAAGGAUGACUGCCCUAUGGGUUGUAAACUUCUUUUAUAAAGGAAUAAAGUCGGGUAUGCAUACCCGUUUGCAUGUACUUUAUGAAUAAGGAUCGGCUAACUCCGUGCCAGCAGCCGCGGUAAUACGGAGGAUCCGAGCGUUAUCCGGAUUUAUUGGGUUUAAAGGGAGCGUAGAUGGAUGUUUAAGUCAGUUGUGAAAGUUUGCGGCUCAACCGUAAAAUUGCAGUUGAUACUGGAUGUCUUGAGUGCAGUUGAGGCAGGCGGAAUUCGUGGUGUAGCGGUGAAAUGCUUAGAUAUCACGAAGAACUCCGAUUGCGAAGGCAGCCUGCUAAGCUGCAACUGACAUUGAGGCUCGAAAGUGUGGGUAUCAAACAG